This is a non-coding RNA of Peromyscus maniculatus bairdii (prairie deer mouse), 221 nucleotides long. NCBI's taxonomy places the organism in Eukaryota, Metazoa, Chordata, Mammalia, Rodentia, Cricetidae. The record is from RefSeq and is a predicted model, not a curated record.
GAACGGUCUAUGAGAAACGCCUCUACAUAAUUCCCCAAAGCUAGUGCUUCUGGGGAUGCUUGCACAGCAGAGAACAAGAUGGGCCGUGCUGGGAGAGGACUGAGGCCUGGAUGUCCUUUGUGAUUCUCAGAAUGAGGGCAGUUCAUCCUAGGAAGAACUAGAAACAGCAGGGAUCAGGGUUCCCAUAGCAGUGGGACUGGCCACUCAAGAACCCAGGGAGA